GACGAACGCUGGCGGCGUGCUUAACACAUGCAAGUCGGACGAGACCCCUUCUUCGGGAGGGUGUUCUAGUGGCGAACGGGUGAGUAACACGUGGGCAACCUGCCCUCAGCUCUGGGAUAACUCCAAGAAAUUGGGGCUAAUACCGGAUAUGACUGCUGACCGCGUGGUCUGGUGGUGGAAAGAUUUAUCGGCUGGGGAUGGGCCCGCGGCCUAUCAGCUUGUUGGGUGGGGUAGNGGCCUACCAAGGCUUCGACGGGUAGCCGGCCUGAGAGGGCGACCGGCCACACUGGGACUGAGAUACGGCCCAGACUCCUACGGGAGGCAGCAGUGGGGAAUAUUGCACAAUGGGCGAAAGCCUGAUGCAGCAACGCC
This 372-nucleotide ribosomal RNA is filed under the name uncultured bacterium. RNAcentral's name for it is "bacterial SSU rRNA". It matches the Rfam family "Bacterial small subunit ribosomal RNA", at positions 28 to 398 of the family's 1533-position model. The record is from RNAcentral.